UCCGCGGUAGCUCAGUGGUAGAGCGUCCGACUGUUAAUCGGAUGGUCGUAGGUUCGAGCCCUACCCGCGGAGCCA
This 75-nucleotide transfer RNA is filed under the name Hyphomicrobium sp. RNAcentral's name for it is "tRNA-Asn". It matches the Rfam family "tRNA". Rfam says of the family: Transfer RNA (tRNA) molecules are approximately 80 nucleotides in length. Their secondary structure includes four short double-helical elements and three loops (D, anti-codon, and T loops). Lineage: Bacteria; Pseudomonadati; Pseudomonadota; Alphaproteobacteria; Hyphomicrobiales; Hyphomicrobiaceae. The record is from RNAcentral. RNAcentral also lists the same sequence under 5 other names.